UGCGAUUUUACUUCAUAGGAUCAUUUCUAUAGUAAAUCGUCUUAUCUGAAACUCUAACCAGAGCCACAGAUUCUCCAACCUGGGGGAUGACGAUUAUCUCCUCGAUGCCCAAGAGUGAAACCUUUUUUACCUCUGCCUCGGCGGUGGUGGUGAUGAUCUCGACCCAAAUUGCUGUUUGCUCUUCCGAGUAAGUGAUGAGGGUGGGUGUUGAUGGAAGUCUGACAGGU
RNAcentral lists this small nucleolar RNA (227 nucleotides) under Tuber melanosporum Mel28. Its description in RNAcentral is "fungal small nucleolar RNA U3". It matches the Rfam family "Fungal small nucleolar RNA U3". From Rfam's summary of the family: Small nucleolar RNAs (snoRNAs) are involved in the processing and modification of rRNA in the nucleolus. Lineage: Eukaryota; Fungi; Ascomycota; Pezizomycetes; Pezizales; Tuberaceae. The record is from Rfam by way of RNAcentral.